CCCUUAGAUGUUCUGGGCCGCACGCGUGCUACACUGAGUGGAUCAGCGGGUCAGGUUGCGCGAAAGUGUUUCCUAAUCUUGAAAUCGGCUCGUGAUGGGGAUUGACGGUUGCAAUUUUCCGUCAUGAACGAGGAAUACCUUGUAAGCGCGGGUCAUCAUCCCGCGCUGAAUACGUCCCUGCCCUUUGUACACACCGCCCGUCGCUCCUACCGAUUGAGUGGUCCGGUGAGGCUUUGGGAUCUGAGCGGAAAGAGCGUUUCGCUGUUUCUGCUCGGAAAACUCAGUCGAACCUUAUCAUUUAGAGGAAGGAGAAGUCGUAACA
Molecule: ribosomal RNA, 322 nt
Filed under: uncultured eukaryote
Lineage: Eukaryota
Description: partial 18S ribosomal RNA
Rfam family: Eukaryotic small subunit ribosomal RNA
Source: RNAcentral